GAUCAUUACAGAGUUCAUGCCCGUAAAGGGUAGACCUCCCACCCUUGUAUGUUAUUACUUGGUUGCUUUGGCGGGCUGCCUAUAUUAACAUUAGCGUCCGCCAGAGGUUUAUCAAACUCUUUUUAUUAAUGUCGUCCGAGUACUAUAUAAUAGUUAAAACUUUCAACAACGGAUCUCUUGGUUCUGGCAUCGAUGAAGAACGCAGCGAAAUGCGAUAAGUAAUGUGAAUUGCAGAAUUCAGUGAAUCAUCGAAUCUUUGAACGCACAUUGCGCCCCUUGGUAUUCCGGGGGGCAUGCCUGUUCGAGCGUCAUAUCAACAUCAAGCACAGCUUGGUAUUGAGCCCUUGUCAGUAAUGGCAGACUCUAAAAUCAAUGGCGGUGCCGCUGGGUCCUGAACGUAGUAACAUCUCUCGUUCCAGGCUCUCAGUAUGCUUCUGUGUAUUUGUUAAUAUUCUAGUUGACCUCGGAUCAGGUAGGGAUACCCGCUGAACUUAAGCAUAUCAAUAAGCGGAGGAA
This 516-nucleotide small RNA is filed under the name Sclerencoelia pruinosa. RNAcentral's name for it is "eukaryotic LSU rRNA". The stretch from base 158 to 311 matches the Rfam family "5.8S ribosomal RNA". Lineage: Eukaryota; Fungi; Ascomycota; Leotiomycetes; Helotiales; Sclerotiniaceae. The record is from RNAcentral.